UUGACAUAAUGCUAUGUGAAUCACUACAUAAUCCCACAAUUCACAUAUACUCUUUUAUAAGUAUGUAAGCAUACAUAUAAACAAUUCUAGUAAGAAGUAUGCAUACAUUUAAUUUACAUGUGCAUUUUUUUUUGUAUAUGCUGUCCCUGUUAGCCUGAUAGGAUUAUUAGUUUCCUUUUCCCAUUUCUUUUUUCUGAACUUACUAUUCUGUUCAUAUGAUAUUUGAAAGAGAAAUAUUUGUACUUAAGCUUUCUCUCUCCACCCACUCACUCUUCAAUCAGUUAUAUAAAAUACACCUUGGUGACAUGUUUUCAUCUCAUUUAUUAGUAUUUUAAACAUGGCUUUCACUUCCUUCGUGGUGGUAGUGGACAGGGCAGAGGAGGAUGGUGGAAUUCUAAAGCACAAUUAAACAGAAAAACAUUUUCCUCAUAGAAAAAAAUCAAUGUUUUUUUCUAAACUAUGUUGCUCUCAGAAGUAAAUGAAUCAGCACCAGCAGGACUGACUGACUCCCCGACAGGAGAUGCUUUACCUUCCGCAUUGCGGGUUGCAAAGGAGAAACGCUUGCAGUGAAUGGACCUGUCUGUCCUUCAGUUGCCAAAGAAGAGCCCGGAUGACACAAUAGCUCUCUAUCAAUCCCAUUUCUAUGGUGGCUCACGACUUAUUCUCUCCUGCUAUCCGUCUGCCUGCUUCGACCCUCACUCUCAACCUAACGAGUUUUAAAAAGGACACCUCUUAAAUAGAAUUGCCUAAAACAAUGCGCUGUCAUCCUUUUGCAAGGACAAAUAUAUUCAAAUUGCCCAUGACUUUUAAACACGUAAAAACUAGAUAAAUUAUGAAAAUGUUGCACAUCCUAAUGCACAAAAUAUGUAUCUCGGGAAUAUCCUUCUAUUUUUUCUUUUUUUGGGGAAAAAAAAAGUUUACUAGCGUUUACUAGCCGAUUAUGUUAUAUUUUUAGCCUUUCUAGAAUAUUUAAAGUGUAUUGUCCACGACCCUCCUUUUUAACCCAUUUUCAAUGGGUUUAAUAUUGCCCGAGAUAAGGAGAUGCAACUGUUCAGGUCUGAUUUCCUGUUGUUUCUCAGAUACCGAUAGGGCAUCAUUCACAUGAACGACAAAUAAGACUUCUGAACUGUUUGCAAUUUGGGAAGGGGAGGCUUGUGGGUUGUUCGUUGGCGAAGUGAUUUGUCAAACAACAGUUCGAAAUUAUUCGGGGGUUCUUCGCCCUCCACUUUCCCAUAGCGCGUUUUCCUUUCUCCCACAGAGAUAUAAUAGAAACUAAUCUUCAAAAUCCAAACAUUCCAAGCCCCGUCCUUUUGUGCAGGCAUCUCGCUGUCUGCGCUGGGCACGGAGCGGCGCGCGCGCGCCCGCCUUUCCCUCGGCGGCCCCCCGCGGCUCGGACCCGGGCCGGCAGACAGGCCAUCCAUCAUCCGCCCUCCUCCCGCCGAGCGCCGCCGCCGCGGCCAAUCCGGCGGCAGGUGGGGUCGCACCUGCGGGACAGCCCGCCGCUUUCCUCCGCUCUCUUCGCCGCGCCUCGCGUGCUAGCGGCGCCCUUGUGAGCCACUGCGUUUUCCAAGGCCAGAACGGGACAGAGACAAGAUCUCCCUUUGUUUCCCAGGCUCGUCUCGAACUCAAAAAGUCAGUGACAACAGGAGGUCUGUGGUUGACGAUGGUCCUACUUCUCCAUGUUCUGAGACCAGUUUAAACAAAAACAAAAACCAGACAACAACCUUGCAAGGGAAAGAAUUCAGAGUAAAUAAACAGUCUUUUCUGUGAAGCAAAAUAUUUCCCUAAGAUGGGGAAAUUGAGAUGAGAGCUCAUCCACAAGAUUACCCAUCAGUGAGCACCAGUAGCAACAAAAUCCACUAGACGACUGGGAGCUUUUAAGUCAGGAAACUUACAUCAGUAUCAUCAUUCCAAGAAGCGGUAUCCAAGCUGUUUUAUCAAAAGUGUGCAUGGGAGAUACGAAUAAGCCUGGAUAAGAUUCAACAGAAUUGAACCACAGAAAACCACUUUUUGACCUCAAGGUUGAUCAUGAGAAUCAUCUCUAGGACUCAUCUCUUUCCUUUGCAGAUUGGAAAUGUUUAUAAGGAUAAAAGAUUAAAAGAUAAGGGAAGGGCUUCAUCCCCAAACCCUUUAAAUGUUAUGAUUCUGUCUCUCUGUCUCUCUCUCUCUCUCUCCCUUGCUCUCUCUCUCUCUCUCCCUUGCUCUCUCUCUCUCUCUUUCAUUUCAGGGGGAUACCAAUGAAAGGCACUUAUGGAUGAUAUUCAGACUUUUUAUAUUUUUACCACAUUCCAUUAAAAGUCCGUCUCCAAAGAAAUUUGGCCCAAGAUGGAAUGAAAAAAUGAAAGACAUUUUAUUUUUUCUCCUAGAUGUUGGCAAUACUCCACUCCUACAUGUCUGAGGUUGUUUUCAUCUUGCAAAGGACUUUGAUAUUUGUGAAUGUGGCUACAUGGCUUAAAAAAAUAGCAGUGAUAACUUAUACUAAUUAUUCAACUUUUACAUUAAUGCUUAACAAGAAAAAAAUAAUUUUAUUACCCUUGAUAAUGGCUAUAAAAAUUAAGAAACCCAGAAGGAACGGGAAGAUCUGUGUCCUUAAAAGCAAGUAGCUCCCAUUUCACUGAGUUGUUAUAUCUAAUUCAUCCAGUGCACCCUGAAAGUGAGACCCUCAUGUUCUCUAACUUCCAGUCUAUGCAGAGCCAGCUCUGACUGGGGCUGCUAUAUUUGUCCUGAGGUUCUGAGCCAGUCCUGAGGUUCUCACCCUUUUUGGUGUUGGCAAUGAGUCUGCAUCAAGAAGAGACUUAUCUCCCUUUCUCUGCCUAUUCUUUCUAUCUCUAUUCAAGAUGAAAUUUUAAUAAAUCAGUUAUAUUCAUAUUCAUUCAGCAUUCCUCUUGCUAGGUUUCUACAGAAGCUUAUAAUAUUAAUUGGGGUAGGGGCACAUCAUGCUGAAUAUUUGGAAGCUGAAACCGAUAAAAUGUGAUGUUCUGGAAUAUAAACUGAAUAGUAACAACAUUGUCUGGACUACUGAGUCAAACAAUGAAGUUGGUUUAUGGGUGAGGAGUAAAUAAUGAAGUUGCUUAUAUUUUAUUAAAUCUGUAGGUCCUUUGAAGUGGGUCUGGAAUAACAAGUAAAUACUGCUCUUUAGUUUAUUCCUUGGAAUGUCGCUAUUUCCUUUGAAAAUUGAAUGGCAGACCCCAGAGAGGAAAACAGUCCGAGGAAGGCCAUCUGGAAGGGCAGGAAAGAAGAUCUUGGGAGAAGCUGUCAAAAACUCUCUGGAUAUUAGCUCCCUGUAUGCAGGCCAGUCUUCCCUCCCACGCUGUUCACAUUGAGCUGCAUGUUUACCCUCCCCCGCCCCAUGCCCACCCCAGACCUUAUAGAGGGGCCCUGAACUCAGGAGCUUCUUCGAUGUGUGAAGAAUUUUCAAUGUGUGAAGAAUUUAAAUGUCUUGGUCAGGUCUGGGCAAAACCAGGACAUCAGAUUUGAGAACAGCCUUCCCUCUUGCCUGCCAUGCUAAAUUUUACUCUACCCUGUCAGGAAAUAAACUCCAUAUCAUAAUUCUUCUAUAACUGAUUUUCUUCGGAAGGGAUUACAUCCAACUUGGUAACCAAGCAGUUGAUAUUCAGGAUAGUUUUGCCUUCUAAUGAAUUUGUGCCAAAAUUCAGAAUAUCACAUUACAGCAUUUGCAAAAGAAUAGCGUAAAGGCCAGAGGAAAAAUGAGCAAUGCAGAAUAUUGCUCCUUAAGUCCCAUUCAUCAAAGAAAUACGGACAAUGUGUCCUAAUACGACAACUCAAAUACCUGUCACUAACUCCAUCCAGCUGUGAGUGUUCAGGUGACAAUAUUAACAGAUGUGUGAUUGGAAUUUAGCUGUUUUGGGGGUAUUUUAAAUGAGAUAAUUCUUUAUUCUUUUUUCUAGAAUAAAUUCCUCUUAUUUAGUUAGCCUUGAUAAAACAGUGUCCAGGGUAGGUCUUGAAAUCUCAUAAGAAAUCUCAAAUGAUUAUUUUAGCUCUUUCAACUUUCUCCUCUUCAAAGCCAUUAAACAAAGCAACUAAUGAGUAAAUAUAUAGGAUGUCUUGAGAUUUCUUUCUUUCUCCAUGGUUUAUUCAGAAGUAAUAAAAUAUUCGCAAAGAUGGGCAUGGCGGCUCAUGACAGUCAUCCCAGUACUUCAGGAGUCUGAAGUUAGAGGAUCACUUGAGACCAGCAGUUCAAGACCAGCCUGGGUAACAUAGUGAGAUCCCCAUCUCUAUAAAAAUAAAAUAAAAUAAAUUAGCAGUGUGUGUUGGCGUGUGCCUCUAGUUUGAGAUACUCGGGAAGCUGAGAUAGAAGAAUUGUUUGGGCUCAGUAAUUUGAGGCUGCUGCAGUGAGCUGUGAUUGCAUCACUGCACUUCAGCUGGAGUGACAGAGCAAAACCCUACCUUCAAAAAAAAUAAUAAAAGCAGAAAAUAGUAAAGUUAAAGAAAAAAAUCUUAAUAGCCAAAUCCCUGGAUGAUUUUCAUAGAUUGAAAACUCAAUUUUAGAGGAAAAGAAGCAUCAACUGAAACUUCUGCGUGUCAGUUGCUCACUUAAUCUUCCCAAUGGAGUCAGUACCUAGGAAGCACAAAUGAGGCACCAGAAAGCUGCUACAUUCCAGAACCAAGACUUUUCCUUGAAAGACUAAAUUCUCUGCUUUGUCCUGCUGCUUUGAGAGUUGCUUACGUAUAUGACAAGGCCAUGUAAUAAUCUUGACAUCUACGACUUCUAUUUCAACAACAUAGCUAUGCAUCUUUUCUACAUCCUGAUAGAAGCAGACCUAUCCAGAGACAAGAGUCUUUGUGCAUAGUUUCAACUUUCAUGCACUUUAGUCACCUGGGGUUUUGUUAAAAGGCAAAUUUUGACUCCAAAAGUCCAGGAUGGGGCCUGAGGUUCUGCAUGUCUAACAAUUUCCCAGCUGAUGCCAAAGCUGCUGACCAGGGUCUACACCUUAAGAAGUAAGGACUAUCAGAGAGCAGUGAGCUGAAGUGCCAGAGUAGAGACUUAGGAUAAGGGGCCAAAAGGACUGGCUCCGUCAAAGUUAAAACUUGGCUCCCCUCGGGAAAUUCUUUCAGUGGAUUGUGGAGCCAUUUGCAAAACAAGGGCUAGUGUACUCCUCUGGUUGGCUUUUUCGCCAGCAGGCUUGAGGUUCUCUACUCAUACACAACUCUACUGAAGUCCACCGCUGUUUUGUUUGGACAGGCUGGUCUCAAGUCUGAGCUUGCACACAAAGGGCUUAUCACCAACACUGGCCUUUCUGACAGCUGUUUUCCUUCCUAGAGUCCCAGGGCUCUAGUCUGAGGACAGGAAAAAGGCUUGCUGGAGAAAGAAGGCGUGCUAUCAGCAAGCUGUGGUAGAUGCCUGGCUUUAAGACCUUACGGGGGAGUAUCUCUCCCACACACACCUUCUUACACACACCCCAAAGAUCAGCUUCUCCACUCUAUCCCUGCACUAGAAUAAGUAUGAAAUAAGCAUUUUGAUAAAUCUAUCGGUUUUGUCCAUAAAAGCUGGUGAAGAAGCAGGGACGAAAUUACUUCCUAUAAUAAAACAAGGAAUUUCUAUAAAUUACAAGGACUGAAUGUCAAGUCCUACAGAAAAACAUGCUCGUGGGCAUAUGUGUCCGUGUUGGAACAACACGUAUCCCACCAGCAUGAGGUCAGGCAUUUGAAAUCAGUGUGAGGUAUAUGAGUGCCACAUCUAGGAGAACGGAUAAAAAUCAGGGUCGUUGUCAGCUGUGUAAAUUGAGAGGAAAAGGCGCCUUCAGCGACUUCCUUUGGGGAAGGCUUGUUUUGUGCUGGUGAACUGCUCCCCCUGGUGGAUCAGAAAUCGUCAUGGUCAGGAUUCUAUUCUGAAGGGAGCAAACAAUUGCAGGUAUGGAGAUAUCCUCCCACAUAAAGCUAAUUUCUGAGCCCCCAGAAAUACAUUGAAUCUUGGACCCUGACUGAGUCUGAGCGUGGCCAUCCUGUGAACUGCAAAGUUUGUCUUCCCACAUUAUUGGAGUUGUCUUGUGUAUUCUCAUUAUUAUGAUUGUUUCAAAAUUGUGGCUCUGUAUUGAUUUGAGAGAUAUGGAAGUCUUAAGUCCUGUAUUUUAUUUUAGCUACGCUUUAAAAGUAAUUCUGGAUAUUUACAAGGGGAACAAGACCCACAGCGAGGAGAACAUUUUUCUGUGAAAUCAUUUGUUUCCUUUAAUUUUAGCUCCUCUCUCUGAGGUGGUCACGUUGAUUGUGAUUAAUUUAUGCCUGUACCUCUUGUUCUACUUCCCCUCAGCCUAAAGAUAAGUUUUGUGAUUUUUUUCAGGAUGGAAUUUCUACUUUCAUUGUAUAUGUCAGCGCCAAUAGAGAUAGUUUAUGUUGCUGUUUUCGUUAAAGAGGUUUUUUGUAUGCCCUGCCGUGCACGAAGAGGAGAUUUUGCAGGUUUUGAACUCAGUGCUGUUGUGCAAUUGCAUGAAGAAGGAAAUUAAAUGUGAAAAUUGGCCGAUCUGUCUUUCCUCUGGAUUCCCUCAACAAAGCAGCCUCAUGAAGUACGUGCUGCCAUAUUGACCUCAGUACACACACAGAAGAGCCCAGGGAAUUGCUUCUUUGGGGAUUGGAGAUAAGACUGAUAAUUUAUAGAAACAGACAUUAGAAGGCAGAAAUGUGGAGAGAAGAAGGCUACCUGACUAGGGAAUCUCAGGAUACAAGGAAAACACCAAGGUGAGUUGCCUGACUUUUAGCUUUGCCUGAUACAUCUCAGACCUAGAGCUCAAGGAACCAAGAACCCCAAAACAACAAUGGGCACAGACAAGAAAAGCCCCAACGAACGCCUACUCUGUCUCUAGCCAAAGACAAUGGAAGGGGCAACCAAGCAAGACAGAAAAAUAUUUAGAUAAUAAUCGCUCUAUUCUAGCCAAAUUCCACAAAAACUAAUUAGGUGGUGUCAGAGGAGGCUAAAUAGGAAGGAGGGACUUUUACCCCUGCCCCCUAACCCUGUGAUAUCAGUGGAAGCCAUGUGGAGAGCAGCAACAAGGGACUUCCAUCCUUCACAUGCUGGGAAGUAUAGUGGACCCUUGAACAACACCGGUUUGAACUUCACAGGUCCACCUAGAUGCAGAUUUUGUUAAACAAAAAUGUAGCAACUUCCUGGCAUGUUCAGAUACCCUUCUAGGUACUUGGAAUACAAUAGUAAAGAAAAACAGGCAAAGCCCCUGCUGUCCUGAAAGGUACAGACAAUGGAAGAGGCAUUAGUUUAGGGACUCACACAAAUAAGUAAGUUUGUCUGUAUACUAAGGGUCAUAAAGGGGUGGCAUGUGAGCAUGUGAGAAUAUAGAACAGACACAUCUGCCUGACUAAGGGCAGUCAGAAAACACUUUCUUCAGAAAUGAAUGAUUUAUUUAAAAUCUACAUAAUUAAUUAGGCAGAGUAAGCCAAAAGUUAUCUAAGUACGGGGAGCAUACCUGUGCAGUUUAUUUUAUUGAGCUGAAAAUUAAUUUCCUUCAUAUGAAUCUAAAUCUCUGUUUACCACAAGCCCUCUGUUUCCACAAGUUCUGUGUCCAAAACCAAAGGCAGAUCCAAAUACAAUAUUCGUGGGAUGCAAAUUCCCAUGUAUACCAAGGGAUAACUGCUUUAUUGGAGACCUAGUGGGGAACUGAAACUCCCACUACUGCUUAGCAGGAAUGAGGAGCCCCCUUUCAGAGGUCAACAGAAGCUGAGUUAAGAAAUCUGGACUUUUGCCCCACCUGGCAGUAAUGAAGUGACACCUACCUUCAUCUGUGAGGAUGGUGUGAGAUGAAGCUAGCUAAAACAAAAGUUUUCUAUAAGAUUCAGAGUCUCAUAAUACUGAACUGUCCAUGGAGAAUUACUCAUACAAAAACAAGAAAGAACUAAAACUAAGUGAGAAAAGAUAAUAAAUAUAUGCCAACAUCAAGAUGACACAAAUGUUAAAAUUAUCUGGCAAAACUUGUAAAGCAGCCAUCAUAAAAAUGCUCCAAUGAACAACUAAAACAUUCUUGUAGCUAAUGAAAAUUUAUUUGAAAAGCUUCAACAAAGAAAUAGGAAGUCAUGACUGAAAAUAGAAGAUAAAAGAGUCAAAUGGAAAAUUUUGAAGUGAAGAAUACAAUAAUACAAAAAUCUCAAUGCAUGGGCAUUGAGAAUGGAGGAGAUAGAGGAAUAUCAGUGAACUGGAGGAAACAAUGUAAAUUGGACAUCUAUACAACAAGAGAAAAUACAGUGAAAAAAAAGAUGAAAGGAAUCUCAAAGACUUUUGAGAUUAUAGCAAAACAAACGAACAAACAAACAAAAAACUAAAAACUAACCUUUGCGUUUCCUGUGUCCUUGAAGACAGGAAGAUGACAGACCUGAAAAACAUUCUAAGAAAUAAUGGCUGAAAUAUUUUCAAAUUUAGCACAAGACAUAAAUAUACAGAUUUAAGAAGCUGAGUGAAUCCCAAACAGGAUAAACUCACAGAAAUUCGUAACAAGACACUCAUAGUCAAACCUUUGAGAACUGAAGACAAAAAAGAAAAACAAAAACUCAAUCCAGAUGUCCUUCAAGGGGAAGAUGAUUAAACCAACUCUGAUACAUGCAUACUAAUAGAAAAAAACUAUUGAUACAUGGAACCACUUGGAUGAAUCUCUAAAGAAUUAAGGAGAGUGAAAAAAAAUGAGCUUUAAAAUGUUACAUAUUGUUUUGUUUAUAUAAUAAUAUGAUGGGAAUGACAAGAUCAUAGAAAUGGUGAUUCACUGGGGUUAAGGAGGGGGAAGGAUAAGAGGAAAGAGGGAGUGGCCAUAAAAGGCAGCAUGAAGGAUCCCUGUGCUGAUAGAAAUAUUUCUUAUCUUGACCGCAGCAAUGUCAAUAUCCUGUUUGUUACACUGCAGUUUUGCAAGAUGUUAGCAUUGAAAGGAACUGGGUAAAAGAUCACUCUGCAUUUUCUCUUACAACUGCAGAUAAAUCCACAAUUAUCUUAAAAUAGAAAGUUUAAUUUACAAAAAAUGUUAUGCAAGCCUUGUAACUCAGUGGCUACAUAACUCUGGACUUAGACACAAAGAAUUUUGACUGUCACUUUAACUUCCUGUAAUCCUGGACAAGUAUUCAGCCAGUCUGAGCUUACUUUCUUGUCAGUUAAAUGGGCAUAAUGAUAGUUACCCUACUUACUGAUAUUUCACCAACUACAGUCAGGAUGAAAUAAAAGUGAAAUAAUGAGCAGAAAGGGCUUCUUUUUUAUUGUUCUUAGGAACUUUUAUUAAAAUGUCUAUUAGAGAUCAAGGCUCCCAACACAACUAGAGAGACAUUGACACAGGAACUGGUGGUGGGCAUGAAAUACCUGGUUGCUUGUAGAACUAAGACUAAUUGAAUGUUAUGUAAUCCCAGCACUUUGGGAGGCCAAGGUGGGUGGAU
Non-coding RNA from Chlorocebus sabaeus (green monkey), 9372 nucleotides. NCBI's taxonomy places the organism in Eukaryota, Metazoa, Chordata, Mammalia, Primates, Cercopithecidae. The record is from RefSeq and is a predicted model, not a curated record.